CCCCUUCCCCGGCCGCCCCCUCGGAUUUUAGGGCGGUGAAGGGAAGGGGCGGCGUUGCGGGGAGAGCCGCACGGCACGGGCGAUGCCGCUGUGCCUGGGGAGCAAACAAACAAAGCGAGGGGCUUCGAGCAUCGACGCGGGGGAGAGGUGUGGGGGGAGGGGGGGGGGGGAGGGGAGAGAAUUUGUUUUUGAAUGAUUUUUUCAUUUGUAUUAAUUUCUAUCUUUUCAGGUGGUGACGGAGGGAGGGGCGCCCCCCCCACACCCCCACACCCCGCAGCCCCUUCCCCCUCUCGGCUCAGGCACACGAAGCUCACGAGAGACGCAGGGAGCGGGGCCGGGUUGGGGGGGGCGGGCGGGGGGGUGGGGGGAUGCCGAGCUGAAGUCCUGCACCGAGAUGGGAAUGGACACAGAAGGGAACGCCGGAGAGGGCCGGGGCGGCCGUCGGACCCCGCACGGGGCGGGGCUGCUCCGCUGUGCUGCGUCCCGGGGCGGUGUUCCGGGAGCCCUCCGCUCUCGUUCCGUUCUUUAAAGAGAAACCCAAAAAACCCAAACAAACAAAACCAACCCAAACCGGCCUCCCCCCCCCCCCCCCCGCCCCUUCCCCCCCCGCCCCGCCAUUGUUAUUGGCAAACCGGAUCCUCUCACGGCGGGAAUAGAAAAGCGAGCAGGUCAGCUGCCCCCCUCCCCCACCAUAAAAACACGGCUGGGCACGAGCUGUGCUGGGGGCACGGGUAGCACCGAACGGGGCUUCUCCAGCGUUAAAAAGCGAUAUGGUGUUGCGGUGGUACAGUGGGGCCAUAUCCCGCCGGCUCUCGGCUGCUCUGCACCCAGAGAGUGGAUGGAUGGAUGGGUGGAUGGAUGGAUGGAUGGAUGGAUGGAUACAUGGAUGGAUAGGUAGAUGGAUGGAAAGGAUGCGGGGAAGGAAGGAAGGAUGGAUAGAUGGAUGGAAAGGAUGGAGGGAAGGAAGGAAGGAAAGAGAGAAAGACAGAAGGAAGGAAGGAAAGAGAGAAAAGGAAGGAAGGAAAGAGAGAAAAGGAAGGAAGGAAAGAAAGAGAGAAAGAAAAGGAAAGAAGGAAAGAGAAAGAAAAGGAAAGAAGGAAAGAGAAAGAAAAGGAAGGAAGGAAAGAGAAAGAAAAGGAAGGAAGGAAAGAGAAAGAAAAGGAAGGAAGGAAAGAGAGAAAGAAAAGGAAGGAAGGAAGGAAGGAAGGAAGGAAGGAAGGAGAGAAAGAAGGAAGGAAGGAAAGAAGGAAAAGGUAGCACUGUCUGCAGUGUAGGGUUGUUAGAGAAGGUUCCCCCACUGCUGCCACCAAACAGUUAAAACGUUCCAAGCCCUGUCCGAAAUGCAGUGUCGCGCUGUUGCUCUCUGCCUGGGCCGAGGUUUCAUCCUCCCCCCGCCCCGCCCCGCAGCCCUCAGCCCUCAGCCCCGCUCCAUCCAUGCCCGCUGACUGCCGGCCCCCGCACAGCCCGGGCUGCGGGCACGGAGGGCGGACAAACCGUUUCCUUUCCCCGGAACGUUUUGGAGGAGGAGGAGGGCCUGGAGGUGCCCCGGAGGUGAGGGAGAGGCCGGGGCUGUGCCUCCGCGCUGCGUGUGGACAACGCUCUGCAGGAGCCGGGACUUCACCGAGAGAGUAAUGCAGAAAGUGCGGUUGCAUCUCGGAUCGGAGAGGAACCCCGAAAGGCUCAGAGAAAAACCCCAAUGAAAUAUUGGUUUGGAGAAGGAAAAAAAAAAGAAAAAAAAGAAUGUCCAUACAAAUAUCUGUCUACCUUCUGGAUUUACCCCUCGUUCUCCUUUCUUCCUUCUCUUUAUUCUUUCCUUCCUUCUUUUCUUUCUUUUUUUUCUCCCCCUUUCUUUUAUUUCUUUCUUUCCUUUAUUUUUUUUCUCUCUUCCCUUUACUUUACCUCUCCCUUCCUUUCCUUCCUUUCCUUCCUUUCCUUCCUUUCCUUCCUUUCCUUCCUUUCCUUCCUUUCCUUCCUUCCUCUCUUCCUGUUCCCGUUCCCUCCCUGUUUCCCUUUUUACCCCUCUCCCUUCUCCCAUCCCUCCCUUCCCUCCUGCCCCGUCCCCUCUCUCUCCUCCGGGGCACACAGGGACUAUCGCAGCCCGGCCGCGCUCCGUUCCCCUCCCGGUGCCGCACCCCCAGGACGCAGCGGGGCCGUUCCAAGUUCAAAGUCGCACGGCCGUCCCCCGAGAGUCUCUUUACCCCUCCCCGCACCGCGGCCCCUUUUCCCCGGGCGCCGGAGAGCCCCUCUCCGGGUAGAAUGUGAUUCCGGAGCCGGGCCGGAGCUCUCCUCCGCGGACAGAACUUCAGCUUCUUCCGGGGGCGACGUACGGCUGCGAAGAGAGGAAGGAGGGGAGAGGGCACAACCAAAAACGCGCCCCGGGUUUCCCGAGGCCGCCCCUCUCCCUCCGUUCUCUUCCAACACAUACAGACGCAAACGGAAGGAGGGAUUCCUUUUUUCUUAUUUUGCCCCCGUCUGAGCGAAUCCCCAAAGGGGACGAGCCGGGAGAAACAUGCCACGCUUUCCCCGUCAAAGCGCACGCUGAAAAUGGCAACUGCGCGACUUCUGCCGCGGGUCUCUCUCCCGAAGGCUGUCCCCUCCCGCCCGAGCCCCGGCCCCGCUUGUCCUCCGCCGUGGGGAGGGCUCCCGGCCCUGCCCGCACCUCCCGGCCUCUCCCGGCAGCUGUGGGGCAGCCGCCAGCGCAGCCCCGCGCAGGAUGC
RNAcentral lists this long non-coding RNA (2717 nucleotides) under Gallus gallus (chicken). RNAcentral describes it as "lncRNA (ENSGALG00010006109.1)". Lineage: Eukaryota; Metazoa; Chordata; Aves; Galliformes; Phasianidae. The record is from RNAcentral.